RNAcentral lists this ribosomal RNA (887 nucleotides) under Calonectria pseudonaviculata. RNAcentral describes it as "eukaryotic LSU rRNA". It matches the Rfam family "Eukaryotic large subunit ribosomal RNA", at positions 58 to 978 of the family's 3401-position model. Lineage: Eukaryota; Fungi; Ascomycota; Sordariomycetes; Hypocreales; Nectriaceae. The record is from RNAcentral.
AAAGAAACCAACAGGGAUUGCCCUAGUAACGGCGAGUGAAGCGGCAACAGCUCAAAUUUGAAAUCUGGCCCUCGGGUCCGAGUUGUAAUUUGUAGAGGAUGCUUUUGGUGAGGUGCCUUCCGAGUUCCCUGGAACGGGACGCCAUAGAGGGUGAGAGCCCCGUCUGGUUGGAUACCGAGCCUCUGUAAAGCUCCUUCGACGAGUCGAGUAGUUUGGGAAUGCUGCUCUAAAUGGGAGGUAUAUGUCUUCUAAAGCUAAAUAUUGGCCAGAGACCGAUAGCGCACAAGUAGAGUGAUCGAAAGAUGAAAAGCACUUUGAAAAGAGAGUUAAAAAGUACGUGAAAUUGUUGAAAGGGAAGCGCUUAUGACCAGACUUGGGCUUGGUUGAUCAUCCUGGGUUCUCCCUGGUGCACUCUUCCAGUUCAGGCCAGCAUCAGUUCGCUGCGGGGGAUAAAAGCUUUGGGAAUGUGGCUCCCUCGGGAGUGUUAUAGCCCAUUGCAUAAUACCCUGCUCCGGACUGAGGUUCGCGCAUCUGCAAGGAUGCUGGCGUAAUGGUCAUCAGCGACCCGUCUUGAAACACGGACCAAGGAGUCGUCUUCGUAUGCGAGUGUUCGGGUGUUAAACCCCUACGCGUAAUGAAAGUGAACGCAGGUGAGAGCUUCGGCGCAUCAUCGACCGAUCCUGAUGUUCUCGGAUGGAUUUGAGUAAGAGCAUACGGGGCCGGACCCGAAAGAAGGUGAACUAUGCCUGUAUAGGGUGAAGCCAGAGGAAACUCUGGUGGAGGCUCGCAGCGGUUCUGACGUGCAAAUCGAUCGUCAAAUAUGGGCAUGGGGCGAAAGACUAAUCGAACCUUCUAGUAGCUGGUUUCCGCCGAAGUUUCCCUCAGGA